UGAAUUGCUCUUGAGCGUUAACUAUAUCCAUCUACACCUGUGAACUGUUGAUGACUUCGGUCAAUUACUUUUACAAACAUUGUGUAAUGAACGUCAUGUUAUUAUAACAAAAAUAACUUUCAACAACGGAUCUCUUGGCUCUCGCAUCGAUGAAGAACGCAGCGAAAUGCGAUAAGUAAUGUGAAUUGCAGAAUUCAGUGAAUCAUCGAAUCUUUGAACGCAACUUGCGCUCUCUGGUAUUCCGGAGAGCAUGCCUGUUUGAGUAUCAUGAAAUCUCAACCAUUAGGGUUUCUUAAUGGCUUGGAUUUGGGCGCUGCCACUUGCCUGGCUCGCCUUAAAAGAGUUAGCGUAUUAACUUGUCGAUCUGGCGUAAUAAGUUUCGCUGGUGUAGACUUGAGAAGUGCGCUUCUAAUCGUCUUCGGACAAUUCUUGAACUC
Molecule: unclassified non-coding RNA, 437 nt
Filed under: Cutaneotrichosporon mucoides
Lineage: Eukaryota; Fungi; Basidiomycota; Tremellomycetes; Trichosporonales; Trichosporonaceae
Description: sequence contains 18S rRNA gene, ITS1, 5.8S rRNA gene, ITS2, 28S rRNA gene
Rfam family: 5.8S ribosomal RNA (bases 115-268)
Source: RNAcentral